RNAcentral lists this ribosomal RNA (1490 nucleotides) under Triticum aestivum (bread wheat). Its description in RNAcentral is "partial small subunit ribosomal RNA". Lineage: Eukaryota; Viridiplantae; Streptophyta; Magnoliopsida; Poales; Poaceae. The record is from RNAcentral.
GAAAAUUGGUUGGCUAUUGAGACUAUUCGUUGGUGGUGAAGCGAGGCCACCACGAGACGGCGAGAGCAAGAGAGACAAAGUUAGGAACACGCACGCACGACCCAAUUUUCUACCUAAACGAGAGACCCUCUCACCAAGUGCCCACGAGCGGCAGGACCUCUCCGCAGUUUAGCGACUCUAAGGGAGGGGACGAACCAAGAACCCGGCGGCCGUCGUCGCGCAAAGGACCUACGAGGACGCGCGAUCGACAAACAUCUUUACCCAGUCGCCACCACGGGAAACGGUUCUUCUUCUCCUUCCCCAUGUCGCACCUCGGCGGACUACCUCUCCUCUGCUUUCUACCACGAAGACUACUCUAUCUCCCAUACCAGCUCCUACAACUACCGCUCCUCCUCCCCCCGCUGCUCCUCCUACGACCGCUACUGCUAUAUCACCUACUGCUACUGUCGCUGUUACUACUACUGAUACUAAAGCUUCUACUUAAACUCUCACUACUACUUGUUCUGGAAAUACAACCUCUACCUCCACGACCACCACCUCAUAGUGAACGACCAUGUACCACCCCGUUCCUUCGAAACCGUAACCGGCUCCUCCAAAGUCGUAGUAAGCUACCGCUGAACUUUUAAAUACGAAAGUUCCGUUGACGUUUAAAUCUUUAGUCUCAAGCGUAACUCUUCUACAGGUGAUCCAUACCAAGAGGUUGAUAACUACUGUAACUUCGCAUGUGUUAACGCAUGGCACGUUUCAACCUACUACGUCUCAGUCGUCCGUCCUAUGGUUUCUUGCAUAGGAACCUCCACAGUAGGGGACCACACCUCUCUCAGUAGGCACAGGGCCUGCUGGAACUUGCGAAGUUUCUUGCCAGCUACAUACAGUCUAUGCAAUACUGUUCGCUCCUACGUCGGUGCCGGGUCCUUCCGCUGCCACACAAGUCCGAGUAAAGCAUGCUGCACCUGGACACACUCACGUGGACCCCGUAUCGGCUACAAUUCUAUUUGGCCGUCGUCUGGCCGUUCCCGUCCGGAGACUCGUUCUUCGUCUCUCUUACCGCAGACGUCUGCGGCAAGCUCAGCGACUUCAACCAGUCCCACAUGAGACUUACAACUCGUCGAAGAAACUGAUUUAGUAACAAAGGUAGGCUCCAUUGAAAAUGUCUUGGAGCAGGUUAAAACGACUUGAUGGUGACUAUCAGGUCACAUGCACGUCAUCGAUCUAACAACGUGGUAAACAAGUAUAGGUCACCACUCUACUCAAGAAAAGAGAAGAUGAAUUGUCUAUUGUGGACUUGACAGGGACAGGACUUCAAAACGGGAGAACAAACGGAGAAUGUAUCAAUAUACCGUCGUAAGGGACGUACAUAAAUGAACUAACUAGGUAAUUAACAAAGUAAACCGGGACUAUAUGUUAGGUGAACAGCUUAAUCAUUAGAGAACAGUUGCUCUUACCUAAUGCACAAGCUGGCUUACACGACGACUCAUCCUUUCAACUAG